This is an RNA transcript of Oncorhynchus keta (chum salmon), 4230 nucleotides long. It is a transcript of the gene named anaphase promoting complex subunit 1, with no coding region annotated. The transcript is spliced from 10 exons. The record is from RefSeq and is a predicted model, not a curated record. NCBI's taxonomy places the organism in Eukaryota, Metazoa, Chordata, Actinopteri, Salmoniformes, Salmonidae.
UGAUUGGUUGAUCAAGUGAGGUGAAGAUCCUGAGGACAGCAAGUUGUCAGAGCACUUGCGAAAAACGGAUGUGUUUUCUUAUUUUAGGGGUUGCUUUAAGUUGUUUUUAUGUUGACAAUGCUGAAUAUGUGGUACCCAAGUAAGAGUCCUAUAAAGAAAACACAAUGAUUCCGAGACAAGGGACAAAAAGGGACUUAUUUUCAGGUUCGCGCCUGUGCCACUGCGGCAUGGCAGCCACCUAUCGAGACAGUGCAUGACAGUAUGCUAAUCUAAACAUGGUUGCUAGAUAGUUAGCCAGACACAAACAUGCAACACUAAACGCUAUGCUAUGUGUAUUUGAAGAUUACGAAAUGUAUCCAGAUUAUAUUAACAAACUCCUAGUAGCUAACUUGUUGGCUGGCUAAAUUAUGGUGAUGACCACAGUCACAGACAGUAACUUUGCUAGCUAAAGUCGCUACUGUUAAGUUACUAUUUGUUCAAGCCAACGGCUAGCUGUGUAGUUAGCUAUCAUUAGCUUUUAAAGCUGGCUAACUAGAUAGCUAGUUACCUGUCUGCCGUUCGGCAUGUUCUACCUAGCUAGCAGUUUAUUUGUCUGCACUAUAAGCAAUUCACAAUGAUCUGCGGGGCUAGCAUGUUGUGUUAUUUAAUUUUGAACACUAAGUCUCUGGUCUCAUUGUAUUUUCUAGGUAUUUCACACCAUUUUAUGUGAAGUUUAACAGGAUAUCUCUUAAGUGAAAUAUACUGUCAGUCAUUCUCUCCUUCUGCGUCGCUCAGAAAUAACGCUGAUAUCUGAAACUCAUGUCGAACGACUAUGAAGAGCGAGCCACAAUGAUAGCCGCAGUGGAAUUGCAGUAAUUUGUCCCGUUUCGCGUAUUCAGUACAUUAACCACCCGAACGAUGUAAACCUGCAGCUGCAAGCCUCUAAGCUCAAGUCCUCAGACACAUGGUCCCCUCCAGGAUGUCACAACCGCAGAAGUGUGUGUGUGUGGGGGGGGGUCUGUUGUGUGGUGGUUCCUUUUGAUACAGACAACAGUCACUAUUGUGUGGAUGUUUACAGGAGUGUUGGUUGCUGAGAAAGGGUUCCAGUGUGGACAGUGAUGAGAAUGAGGAGGAGCUCUAUGCAGCAGGAAACAUGGUCAUAGGGAGCAGAGGGAACAAGAGUCAAGCUUCCCAUGUUUACAAGGCUUUCACUGUGGGCAGUCCAGUACUACAGAUCACUAGAGUUUGGGCCUGUUCCCGAGGGAGCCGUAUUUCCUCCGCCUCGGGCUCGUCAGAGUCGUGAAAGAAGAAAAAGGAUUCCGCUAGUCUGUGUGGAUUUAACACGUGACAUCAAUAAGGGAUCAUAACUUUCACCUGGAUUCACCUGGAUUCACCUGGUCAGUCUGUCAUGGAAAGCAGGAUGUUAUGGAACAGACUGUGUGUAUUGUCCCGAGCAGCUAUGUGAAUGUGCACAGUGUGACACCGAAGGACUUAAUCUCCCCUCUACACUUUCAGGUCUUCAAUGUGUGGCCCACUAAAUUUGGUCUGCUGUUGGAACGCAAAAAGCCCUGCACCCGAGGCUCCUCCAAGUCCUCCCGGGGAACCUCUUCCCACUGUAUUCAGUAUGAUGCACCCUCUGGAUGAGAGUGGUGUGCAUACCUACAGGUCUGUUCGAGGCUGCCUGUGUGCAAUACGUCUCUGACAGCACCAUGAAAAUCGUCUUCUUCAACUGCAAGCCCUCCAUAGUUAUAUGACCCUGUGCAGGGCAUACACUCAGUCACUCCAGAUCAGAUUGUUAUGCAAAGCAUGCAGCUGCCCAAGAAGCAUGACACUUGGCCCCAGGCACGUGUGGCCACUGUGUACAUUGUGACAACAUGACGAAUACUACAGUACUUUUCCACCCGAGAACAGCUUUCUGAUGACCUCAUCACCAGGCCUCCACUCAUGGACUUACUCACCCAGCAUCUUCAGCAUGGCUGCACUCAGCCGGUUACGCUCCCCUGGCAUGGCGGCACCCUCCUUGGCAACGGCGCAGUUUAACGUGAUACCACUCAUGUCCCCCAGAGGGCACAGCUUCCUGCCCUCGCCCAACAGCACUGCCAACGAGUCUGUGCUUGUUCCAGAGAUGAAGCCCAUGGUGCCUGAUCUAUGCACUGAGCAGAUGUGGAGUGAGAUGGCCUCCUCCCACAGGCCAGUGUCUGAUAUUCACCUCUGCACCGCUGGCUACAGUGGUGUCAUGGAUCCUGCUCUGUGGCCUAGUUGGCUGACCCACUCUGUUAGAUGUUACUGUAGACAUGUUUACAUUGCUUUUGUCUAAUAAACCUGGGUUUAAUGGUAACUGCAGAUUUAUAAGCAAUAUUUUCAAAAGAUCUACCAUUUUUAUCCAUUCAAUGGUGGAUUUUUGUUUUGUAAAACUUUCCAUGUUGUGACAAAUGAUGGAAACUGUGUUUUGAUCAUUUGACAAAUCAUUUUGAAGUUAUGCACGGUAAAAAAAAAAUUUUUUAAACAUCUGUAAAUAUUAUAUUUUUUAGGGUUGUGUCACAAUGUUCAGCUGUUUUUAUCAACACAAGAUAGUUAAAUGGAAACACCACAGUAUGCAAUUUUCCCAUUUCUUUUCUGUGCAAACUUUCUGUCAACUUUCUAAAUGUCAACAAACAAUCUCUGGACAAUUUAAUGGAAAUAUAGCUUGUUUUUACAAUAUGUUUUUAAAUGCAGAAAAUAUUUGUAUGAGGUGUGAUAAAUAAUUAGAAUGUCCUGAACAUAUUGUAAUAUCAUUUCCAUGGAAACCAUUGUAGGGCAUACUGUGAAAUCUGUAGGAGAAUUCAAUGAAAUAGAUCUUUAUUGUCCCUGUAGGGCACUUCUUCCAUGCCCUACAGUAAAUACCCAUUGACAUCGGGAAGAUUUAAAAGCAUUGAAAAAGAGCCAUAGAUGUGUAAAAUAUACAGUAAAUAUCUGGCUUGUACAGUAAAUACAGUGCCUUGCGAAAGUAUUUGGCCCCCUUGAACUUUGCGACAUUUUGCCACAUUUCAGGCUUCAAACAUAAAGAUAUAAAACUGUAUUUUUUUGUGAAGAAUCAACAAUAAGUGGGACAGAAUCAUGAAGUGGAAUGACAUUUAUUGGAUAUUUCAAACUUUUUUAACAAAUCAAAAACUGAAAAAUUGGGCGUGCAAAAUUAUUCAGCCCCUUUACUUUCAGUGCAGCAAACUCUCUCCAGAAGUUCAGUGAGGAUCUCUGAAUGAUCCAAUGUUGACCUAAAUGACUAAUGAUGAUAAAUACAAUCCACCUGUGUGUAAUCAAGUCUCCGUAUAAAUGCACCUGCACUGUGAUAGUCUCAGAGGUCCGUUAAAAGCGCAGAGAGCAUCAUGAAGAACAAGGAACACACCAGGCAGGUCCGAGAUACUGUUGUGAAGAAGUUUAAAGCCGGAUUUGGAUACAAAAUUAUUUCCCAAGCUUUAAACAUCCCAAGGAGCACUGUGCAAGCUAUAAUAUUGAAAUGGAAGGAGUAUCAGACCACUGCAAAUCUACCAAGACCUGGCCGUCCCUCUAAACUUUCAGCUCAUACAAGGAGAAGACUGAUCAGAGAUGCAGCCAAGAGGCCCAUGAUCACUGGAUGAACUGCAGAGAUCUACAGCUGAGGUGGGAGACUCUGUCCAUAGGACAACAAUCAGUCGUAUAUUGCACAAAUCUGGCCUUUAUGGAAGAGUGGCAAGAAGAAAGCCAUUUCUUAAAGAUAUCCAUAAAAAGUGUUUUUUAAAGUUUGCCACAAGCCACCUGGGAGACACACCAAACAUGUGGAAGAAGGUGCUCUGGUCAGAUGAAACCAAAAUUGAACUUUUUGGCAACAAUGCAAAACGUUAUGUUUGGUGUAAAAGCAACACAGCUCAUCACCCUGAACACACCAUCCCCACUGUCAAACAUGGUGGUGGCAGCAUCAUGGUUUGGGCCUGCUUUUCUUCAGCAGGGACAGGGAAGAUGGUUAGAAUGGCCAAGUCAAAGUCCAGACCUGAAUCCAAUCGAGAAUCUGUGGAAAGAACUGAAAACUGCUGUUCACAAAUGCUCUCCAUCCAACCUCACUGAGCUCGAGCUGUUUUGCAAGGAGGAAUGGGAAAAAAUGUCAGUCUCUCGAUGUGCAAAACUGAUAGACAUACCCCAAGCGACUUACAGCUGUAAUCGCAGCAAAAGGUGGCGCGACAAAGUAUUAACUUAAGGGGGCUGAAUAAUUUUGCACGCCCAAUUUUUCAGUUUUUGAUU